This 1829-nucleotide long non-coding RNA is filed under the name Mus musculus (house mouse). Its description in RNAcentral is "predicted gene, 35932, transcript variant 4 (Gm35932)". Lineage: Eukaryota; Metazoa; Chordata; Mammalia; Rodentia; Muridae. The record is from RNAcentral.
AGAUGCUCUGGGUAUUUGGGGAAGGUGGGAUAGGAAGAAGAAAGACAAAAGAUACUCUUGCCCUUUUUGGUGAAAAAAAAAAAAAAGGCAGCAGGGUGCACACAAUUCUGCCCACACCAGUAUCCUUGGCUGGCGUAGAGCUACGGCUUUGCAGGGGGCCUCACACCUGAUCCUCCCCAGCAGGUAGGUAGCUGCAAGGAGGAGCCAAGGGCUGCAGCGAGGGCAUGUAGCCCACCACAUCUCUGGGAAGUGGGCAAGCACAGUCGCUCCAGACAUUUCGGAGAAACCUAACUGGACCACGUGGGACCCAGGAAGUUCCAGUCACAUGCUGUAUGCUGGUGGUGACGCUGGCAGGCCCUGGGGUCUCAGAUACAGCUGGGUUUUUCUAUUUAGCCCAGGCCAGCCUCAAAUUUACAGCCUACCGACUGCUGGGAUUACGGGUGCGGGUGCGUGCUGCCUGGUCUGGGGUUCGCGUGGCUGGCAGAGCUUAGUGCUGUGUGGCCCCUUCCCCAGAGCGCCCCAGGCUCACUCUCUAUGCGAAGCUUCUUUUGUUCCAUGAUGUGCACCUCCUUCUUCAGUUGGUCCACGGACACCAGCUGCUCCUCGCGCUCAUGCGUGACCUGGACCAGUUCCUGCUGCAGGCGCAACCAGGUCAUCUGCGCCUCAGCCACUCCCGUGUUGUACUCUUCUGUCAGCUUCGACAGCCUUUUGAUCUCCAGUUCCAGGGGUCCAGCUUCUUCCCCCUGGAGGGGAGUUAAUAAAAGUGAAGCAUGAGCCUUGGGCUCCACGGGCGUGCAUUAUUAUUAUUACUUAUGUGUGGUAUGUAUAUAUAUAUAUAUAUAUAUAUAUAUAUAUAUAUAUAUGUGUGUGUGUAUAUGUGUGUGUGUGUGUGUGUAUAUAUAUAUGUGUGUGUGUGUGUGUAUAUAUAUAUAUGUGUGUGUGUGUGUCUGUGUCUGUGUGCGCGCCUGUGUAGCCAUGGAGGUAAGGUUUCCACACUGAGUGUUAGUUUGUUCAGACAGCGUCUCCUGCUGAACCUGUUACUCACUGGCUGAUUAGACUGACUGGCCAACAGGCCACAGCAAUACUACAGCCUCUUUCCCAGCUCUGGGGUGCAGAGGUCCCCUGCCUGGCUUUUACUGUGGGUGCUGGGUGGACCCACAUCUUUAUGACGACAAAGCAACUGCCUUGCCGAUUGAGCUAGCUCCCGGAAGGCCUUCUUUUGGAGGGGGCUACGGAGAACCAUGAAUCAAGGCAUUGACUCCAGGGGCUCAGAGAGUCCUCACACUUGGGACACUUCACUACAGUGAUGGGGGAAGGGAGCGGGGAGAGGGCGUGGCUCGGGGCUCUGGGCGGCGCCUCACCCCCAGCUCCGACACCAUCUGUUCCAGCUGCUUGUUGAAGAAGUUGAUGAGGCUCUGCUUCCUCUCAAUGAGGAUGGUGCGCCGGGCGAUCUCGCUCUCGCUGUUGGUGAUGAGAUCGUUGAACCUCUUUACCUCCUUGUCCAUCUCUGCCAGCGUCUUCUUAUGCAUGUCUAUUUUGCAGUUGGUGUUGGUGAUGUCCAGGGUGGCCUGGGCGAUAUCGCCGUCAAUUUUUGAAAGAUGUGUCACCUGAGGGCACGAAGGGACAUAGGUGUGAGCUUUCUCCGUCUUUGGCUGGGCUAGACUGCAGUGUCCUCGACAUUCGACUGGUAUAUGAAGAGAUCCCUGCAUGCCAUCAGGAGGAAGCUAACUGGCCCUGCAUCUCAAGGACCUUCAAGGACCACCACAAAGCACAAGGGGCCUGCUUACCCAAUGGAGACAGCGUGCAUAAAAUAAAGCAGUGUUGUGGCC